UUGGUUGCAAGCUCAACUUACACUGGUUAUAAAUCUAUUAACUCUAAAAACUGUAGAUAUCUGUUCACGUUUUUCUACAGUGUUUCAUCACAUUUACCAGUGAGUGAAGUUUGAAAUUAUCAUCUUGGAUGAUAGCAGUGAUAUUCAACCAUUUUGAAGAGCUUGCAACCAACAUGACGUCAUAAAUUAGUGGACAUAUUCACACUCAUUUACAUAUCAAACUAAUUGAAAUAUC
This is a non-coding RNA of Paramuricea clavata, 235 nucleotides long. The record is from the annotation of a GenBank genome assembly. Lineage: Eukaryota; Metazoa; Cnidaria; Anthozoa; Malacalcyonacea; Plexauridae.